AAAAAAACAUGCACUCUUCUAGCAUAUAGUCAAAAGAACCUUACUUCCUUUUAAUUAUGCUUUAUACUCCAUCUCAAAAGAACAUUCUGGGCAUAAUAACAGUUUCAACGGAAUGAAGGUGCUAUGGUACGAGGAUGUCCCUGGCACCAAUGUUAUGGGCAAAUGCAAAUAUUACCUUCCUACCUUCAGGGAUUAAAACAUAUAUAUACCUUGUUCACUCCAUUUUGUAUAUAAGGAAUUACUGAUCGGCUGAAAGUGUCAGUAAUAGCCAAUUCAAGGCUUCCUGAUUGAAGCAUCGGACUGGAACCGGCACCAGACUGAAGACUUUGGGGUUAAAUAGUUGAUUAAAGGUUUAUUAGCCCCUGAAGGUAAGUCUGUGACCUAGACAUCCUCUCACCAUAACAAGUGGUUAUGGUGCCCAGAGUGUCCCUUUAAGCUCCAUUCUUUUCUUUUUUUCAUGAGCAAACCACAAAAUGGAAUGUUAAUUAAGGCAUUGUUUAUAUUUAGUGAUGUCCCGAACGGUUUGCCGAACGGUUCGCCGCGGACGGCGAACAUAUGCGCUGUUCGGUCCGCCCCCUAUUCGUCAUCAUUGGGUAAACUUUGACCCUGUACCUC
This is a non-coding RNA of Pelobates cultripes (western spadefoot toad), 615 nucleotides long. Lineage: Eukaryota; Metazoa; Chordata; Amphibia; Anura; Pelobatidae. The record is from the annotation of a GenBank genome assembly.